This 280-nucleotide ribosomal RNA is filed under the name Escherichia coli. Its description in RNAcentral is "partial 16S ribosomal RNA". It matches the Rfam family "Bacterial small subunit ribosomal RNA", at positions 1 to 275 of the family's 1533-position model. Lineage: Bacteria; Pseudomonadati; Pseudomonadota; Gammaproteobacteria; Enterobacterales; Enterobacteriaceae. The record is from RNAcentral.
UUAAAUUGAAGAGUUUGAUCAUGGCUCAGAUUGAACGCUGGCGGCAGGCCUAACACAUGCAAGUCGAACGGUAACAGGAAGCAGCUUGCUGCUUUGCUGACGAGUGGCGGACGGGUCAGUAAUGUCUGGGAAACUGCCCGAUGGAGGGGGAUAACUACUGGAAACGGUAGCUAAUACCGCAUAACGUCGCAAGAACAAAGAGGGGGACCUUAGGGCCUCUUGGCAUCGGAUGUGCCCAGAUGGGAUGAGCGAGUAGGGGGGGUAACGGAUCACCUAGGCG